AGCAGCCGCGGUAAUUCCAGCUCCAAUAGCGUAUAUUAAAGUUGUUGCAGUUAAAAAGCUCGUAGUUGAAUUUCGGGGUUAGUAGGUUGGUCAUGCCUCUGGUAUGUACUGGUCUCACUGAUUCCUCCUUCCUGAUGAACCUUAAUGCCAUUUAUUUGGUGUUUUGGGGAAUUUGGACUGUUACUUUGAAAAAAUUAGAGUGUUUAAAGCAAGCUAACGCUUGAAUACAUUAGCAUGGAAUAAUGAAAUAGGACGUUCGAUCCUAUUUUGUUGGUUUCUAGGAUUGACGUAAUGAUUAAUAGGGAUAGUUGGGGGCAUUAGUAUUCAAUUGUCAGAGGUGAAAUUCUUGGAUUUAUUGAAGACUAACUACUGCGAAAGCAUUUGCCAAGGAUGUUUUCAUUAAUCAAGAACGAAGGUUAGGGGAUCGAAGACGAUCAGAUACCGUCGUAGUCUUAACCAUAAACUAUGCCGACUAGGGAUCGGAUGAUGUUAAUUUUUUAAUGACUCAUUCGGCGCCUUACG
Molecule: ribosomal RNA, 522 nt
Filed under: uncultured Rhizophagus
Lineage: Eukaryota; Fungi; Glomeromycota; Glomeromycetes; Glomerales; Glomeraceae
Description: SSU rRNA
Rfam family: Eukaryotic small subunit ribosomal RNA
Source: RNAcentral